UACUACAAAUGAAGACAAAAUUUUAUCUGAAGUAAAAGAGAGAACAUCUGAGAACAUCAGAGAACAUCUGAACUUACCUUUGGGGAUCCUGGUACAGCCUGAGAUUUUGCAACCUUAUGCUGAGAAGACAGUCUUGAACAAAAAGAUAAUAUGAUACAAUUAGUUGGAAAGGAAGAGGGUCAAAAUUCCCAGAUGAGAAAGGAAAACUGGCCAAGGAAAUCAGGCCAGAGGGACCACCUGGACCACUUUGGAUGCCAAGAAUAUCUGUGGCCAUUCAUCUGGUGGAUGAGGCGGAAAGUGGUGUGCCCGCCAUUCAUCACAUCUCUCUUCUCUACCAAAGAAAAUACAAGAUGGAGUCUUCCUCUUCUGGAUCCAUGGAGGCUGCUCUAGACUGAUGAAGGUUUCCCCAUCUGGAUUUCUAUCUUCAUAGACCUGUGAGUAUUGUUGGAGUUGAGAGUGGCAGAAGGUGUUUGUUCCUUCUGAACACUUGUAUGGACAGGUCGCCACAUCCACCUAGGAUUCUAGAAG
Molecule: long non-coding RNA, 528 nt
Organism: Lynx canadensis (Canada lynx)
Lineage: Eukaryota; Metazoa; Chordata; Mammalia; Carnivora; Felidae
Exons: 3
Source: RefSeq, a predicted model, not a curated record